RNAcentral lists this ribosomal RNA (418 nucleotides) under uncultured bacterium. Its description in RNAcentral is "bacterial SSU rRNA". It matches the Rfam family "Archaeal small subunit ribosomal RNA", at positions 325 to 747 of the family's 1478-position model. The record is from RNAcentral.
ACGGGGUGCAGCAGGCGCGAAAACUUUACAAUGCGGGAAACCGUGAUAAGGGAACCCCGAGUGCCCGUAAAUUCGGGCUGUCCAUCAGCGUAAAUAACUGGUGAAGAAAGGGCCGGGCAAGACCGGUGCCAGCCGCCGCGGUAAUACCGGCGGCUCGAGUGGUGGCCACUAUUAUUGGGCUUAAAGCGUCCGUAGCUUGGUUGUUAAGUCUCUUGGGAAAUCUACCGGCUCAACCGGUAGGCGUUCAGGAGAUACUGGCAAUCUAGGGACCGGGAGAGGUGAGAGGUACUCCAGGGGUAGGAGUGAAAUCCUGUAAUCCUUGGGGGACCACCUGUGGCGAAGGCGUCUCACUAGAACGGCUCCGACAGUGAGGGACGAAAGCUGGGGGAGCAAACCGGAUUAGAUACCCCUGUAGUCC